GUCUACGGCCAUACCACCCUGAACGCGCGCGAUCUCAUCUGAUCUCGGAAGCUAAGCAGGGUCGGGCCUGGUUCGUACUUGGAUGGGAGAUAAGGGCAAUGCUCAUGAAGGAAAAAACAAUCAGUAGUUU
This 130-nucleotide ribosomal RNA is filed under the name Mustela putorius furo (domestic ferret). Lineage: Eukaryota; Metazoa; Chordata; Mammalia; Carnivora; Mustelidae. The record is from RNAcentral.